RNAcentral lists this ribosomal RNA (253 nucleotides) under uncultured bacterium. Its description in RNAcentral is "partial 16S ribosomal RNA". It matches the Rfam family "Bacterial small subunit ribosomal RNA", at positions 524 to 776 of the family's 1533-position model. The record is from RNAcentral.
UACGGAGGAUCCAAGCGUUAUCCGGAUUCAUUGGGCGUAAAGGGUGCGUAGGUGGCGAGGUAAGUCGGAUGUGAAAUCUCGGAGCUCAACUCCGAAACUGCAUUCGAUACUGCUUUGCUUGAGGACUGGAGAGGAGAUUGGAAUUCAUGGUGUAGCAGUGAAAUGCGUAGAUAUCAUGAGGAAGACCAGUGGCGAAGGCGGAUCUCUGGACAGUUCCUGACACUGAUGCACGAAGGCCAGGGGAGCAAACGGG